Molecule: unclassified non-coding RNA, 1384 nt
Filed under: Gigantopelta aegis
Lineage: Eukaryota; Metazoa; Mollusca; Gastropoda; Neomphalida; Peltospiridae
Description: uncharacterized LOC121379175, transcript variant X2
Source: RNAcentral
CAUUUUCCGUACUCACAUGAUUGGUAUUUUAUAGCUUUUGAGGACUAAUUCUAUUAAACUAGCAAUAUAGCGACACGUCAGUUGCCAAGCGCAGUUUCAUUGGUUCGAUGUAUCAAGGUUUACCUUGAGUAUAUAAAAUGUUUGAAUGGAUAGUGGUGGCAACAGAAACAGAAGACAGUUUUACGUGGAACAGAAGACAGUUUACGUGGACACAAUGCAACAGCAAUACUUAGACAGUGUUAGUAGUAUGGAGAUGGAAGCUAUACUGAAGACUGCCAAUCCCAGCCCCUAUCUCCGUGAAUUGGUAGAAAAUACGGAAAUCGGAAGACCUAACGAAACCGACCGCACAGAUUCAUCAUCAUACCUGAUGGACUCUGAUGACGCAAUGGGUCUACCCGAUCUUGAAGAAAUCUUUGGUCUAACCAGCAACCCCAAGACGACUGCUGGUGCACCAGGUGAGGGCGUUUCAGGUCUGGUCGCAGACCCUAUUUCACUAACCAAUGCGUUUGACCAACAGUUCGUAUCAUCCUUUUUCUCUGCUCCGUCUGCUUCGUGUCCCACGCCAGACGAUAUCGUGGUUUCAAAUGCAGACGACUCCACAGACUUGGUCUUCAGCGACAUAGUCCUGGAACCAAUUUCAGACACGGCUAAUAUUCCGGAGACCGUGAGAGAGCUCUUUGAGCAGGGAUUGGCCAAUUCUAGUGAGGGUCCACUGGCGCAGAAGCCGACGACCACCACUAUCACCACCACCAGUCUUGCAGACGGUCAGUUUGGCCAGCAGACGACAGGGGACUUCAGUGUUCAGGGUUUGGGAGAUUCUUGGGAAGCAGCCACCUCUGUGGUGUCAGUGGAAUCCCCCGUAAAGCAGAAGCUGAGAAACACCAUCCAGCAAAAACAUGGGGACAGGCCUCUUCCAGCUGUGGACUUCACGCCCAAGCCACAAUCAGAGCUGUCGCAAGAAGAGAGAGAGAAGGUUGAAAGAAGAAAGCAGAAGAAUCGAGACUCUGCAGCCAAGAGUAGAACCAACCAGAAGAAGAAACAGAAGUAUCUAGAAAAGGUUGGUUCAGUCAAGGUGUACCUUCUAUUGCUGAAUCACCACGCGAGUUGAAUUGACAAUUGGAAACCGUUCGAAGUUCAAGUCUGCGCUCGCUCGCUUGCUAGUGUUCAAGUAAUAUUGAGGUGGUUAAGUUACCAGGGCGUGGGGACUAACUGCUUCAGUAUUGUUGUCCUAGGCCUGCACUUCAUUGCAGUAAGAAUUCUGGAAUUAGAAGAUCAAAAUGAGAUGCUUUCAGCGGAGAUUAAAGUCCUGAGUAUGAGGAAACAAACAACCGCUCAAGUACUGCAUCAUCAUAAAUGCAAGUGCAAAUCACGUACACAGAUAAAC